UUUUAAAAAUUAUUAAAGUUAAAAAUUUAAUUAGGUUUAAUUUAAAUAAAUUAUAGAUUUAGUAUUGUAAAUAAAAAAUUAUUUUUAAUUAUAGUUUAUUAGUAAUGUGAGUGAAUUUAAAGAAAUAUAAAAAAGAAAAAUUAAGAUUUUGUACCUUGGGUAUCAGGGUUGAUUAAAUAUAUAUAAAAAAGUUUGUUUUCUCGAAUUUAAAAGAGCUAUAAGUUUAUUUAUUUUAUUGUAGAAUAAAUAUUUAAAAUAAAUUUAUUGUAAUGAAACGUUAUUCGUUUUUAAAUAUAUCUAGUUUUUAAAGAAAUUAAUUCAAUUAAAUUAUUUAAUAUUAAUUUUAUAAUUUAAAAUUUGAUUAAUUUAAAUAUUCUAUAGUUUUAGGGAUUAGCUUAAAAUUAAAAUUUUAUAAAUAAAUAAUAAUUUUUAAAUUGUAGAAUUAGAAGUGUUUAUCAAUAAAAUAUUGUUAUAAAUGAUUUUUUAAAAAUAAAAUUUAUAUUUAUUUUAAGUUUUUUAUUUAAAUUUAAUUUAAAAUUAUUUAAAUUUAUUAAUAAUGAUUAAAUUAGUACAAUUAAAUUUUAAAUUUAUUAAAAUUUUAAAUUUUUUAAUUAGGAAUUCGGCAAAAAUUUUUUUCACCUGUUUAUUAAAAACAUGGCCUUUAGAAAUUAAUUUAAGGUCUGGCCUGCCCACUGAGGAAUUAAAUGGCCGCAGUAAUUUGACUGUGCUAAGGUAGCAUAAUCAAUAGUUUUUUAAUUGAAAGCUAGAAUGAAAGGUUAAAUGAGAAAAAUACUGUCUUAUUAAAAAUAAUGGAACUUUAUUUUUAAAUAAAAAAGUUUAAAUAAAAUUAAAAGACGAGAAGACCCUAUAGAGUUUUAUAAUUUUUGAUGAUUAGUAUUUAAGAAUUUAAAAAAUUAAUCAUUAAGAAUUAUUUGAUUGGGGUGAUUAUAAAAUUAAAUUAACUUUUAUAUAUUUUUUCACUGAUUUGUGAUUUUUUGAUCCAUAAAAAUGAUUAAAAGACUAAAUUACCUUAGGGAUAACAGCGUAAUUUUUUUAGAGAGUUCUAAUCGAAAAAAGAGUUUGCGACCUCGAUGUUGGAUUAAAGUUAAAUUUUGGCGGAGAAGUUAAAAAUUUUAAGUCUGUUCGACUUUUAAAACUUUACAUGAUCUGAGUUUAAACCGGUGUGAGCCAGGUUGGUUUCUAUCUUUAAUUAAUUAAAAUAUUUUAGUACGAAAGGACCAAAUAUCUAGUUUAAAAUUUUUAUUUUGAAUUUUA
RNAcentral lists this ribosomal RNA (1275 nucleotides) under Uleiota sp. BMNH 833935. Its description in RNAcentral is "16S ribosomal RNA". The stretch from base 1036 to 1195 matches the Rfam family "Archaeal large subunit ribosomal RNA", at positions 2542 to 2701 of the family's 2987-position model. The record is from RNAcentral. Lineage: Eukaryota; Metazoa; Arthropoda; Insecta; Coleoptera; Silvanidae.